Molecule: ribosomal RNA, 346 nt
Filed under: uncultured bacterium
Lineage: Bacteria
Description: bacterial SSU rRNA
Rfam family: Bacterial small subunit ribosomal RNA
Source: RNAcentral
CUACGUAGCUCAGAGUUUGAUCCUGGCUCAGGACGAACGCUGGCGGCGUGCCUAAUACAUGCAAGUAGAACGCUGAAGGAGGAGCUUGCUCUUCUGGAUGAGUUGCGAACGGGUGAGUAACGCGUAGGUAACCUGCCUGGUAGCGGGGGAGUAACUAUUGGAAACGAUAGCUAAUACCGCAUAAGAGUAGAUAUCGCAUGAUAGCUGCUUGAAAGGUGCAAUUGCACCACUACCAGAUGGACCUGCGUUGUAUUAGCUAGUUGGUGAGGUAACGGCUCACCAAGGCAACGAUACAUAGCCGACCUGAGAGGGUGAUCGGCCACACUGGGACUGAGACACGGCCCAG